GACGAACGCUGGCGGCGUGCUUAACACAUGCAAGUCGAACGAUGAAGCCAGCUUGCUGGUGGAUUAGUGGCGAACGGGUGAGUAACACGUGGGUGAUCUGCCCCAAACUUUGGGAUAAGCCUGGGAAACUGGGUCUAAUACCGAAUAUGACCACUGGAUGCAUGUCUGGUGGUGGAAAGCUCCGGCGGUUUGGGAUGGGCCCGCGUCCUAUCAGCUUGUUGGUGGGGUAAUGGCCUACCAAGGCGACGACGGGUAGCCGGCCUGAGAGGGCGACCGGCCACACUGGGACUGAGACACGGCCCAGACUCCUACGGGAGGCAGCAGUGGGGAAUAUUGCACAAUGGGCGCAAGCCUGAUGCAGCGACGCCGCGUGAGGGAUGACGGCCUUCGGGUUGUAAACCUCUUUCACCAGGGACGAAGCGAAAGUGACGGUACCUGGAGAAGAAGCACCGGCCAACUACGUGCCAGCAGCCGCGGUAAUACGUAGGGUGCGAGCGUUGUCCGGAAUUACUGGGCGUAAAGAGUUCGUAGGCGGUUUGUCGCGUCGUUCGUGAAAACUUGGGGCUUAACUCCAAGCGUGCGGGCGAUACGGGCAGACUUGAGUACUACAGGGGAGACUGGAAUUCCUGGUGUAGCGGUGAAAUGCGCAGAUAUCAGGAGGAACACCGGUGGCGAAGGCGGGUCUCUGGGUAGUAACUGACGCUGAGGAACGAAAGCGUGGGUAGCGAACAGGAUUAGAUACCCUGGUAGUCCACGCUGUAAACGGUGGGUACUAGGUGUGGGUUCCUUUUCACGGGAUCCGUGCCGUAGCUAACGCAUUAAGUACCCCGCCUGGGGAGUACGGCCGCAAGGCUAAA
This 857-nucleotide ribosomal RNA is filed under the name uncultured bacterium. RNAcentral's name for it is "bacterial SSU rRNA". It matches the Rfam family "Bacterial small subunit ribosomal RNA", at positions 28 to 898 of the family's 1533-position model. The record is from RNAcentral.